This is a long non-coding RNA of Saccostrea echinata, 311 nucleotides long. RefSeq lists it as uncharacterized. The transcript is spliced from 2 exons. The record is from RefSeq and is a predicted model, not a curated record. Lineage: Eukaryota; Metazoa; Mollusca; Bivalvia; Ostreida; Ostreidae.
GCAACAUGUCCGAAUAACAGAACCUACAGUGUGGUUUAUCCUGCUCUUCAGAGAUGGAAUGGAAAAGGAGUUUACUGCAGGGGAUUAAUUUCAGGAAAUGAGAGAAGUAAUCAAGUCAACUUCAGUGUUAUAGUUUCAGUAACAUUGGUUACACUGAGCCCAAACCAGAUUACCGUGGAUGCUGGUAAACAGAUAACUCUAACCUGUCAGACAGAUUACUGUAACCCAGCAGCCAACAUCACGUGGUACAAGGCAUCAAUCAAUCUGGCCACGCCUACCACAGAUACAACAGACAUCGACAGCAAUGGCCU